This 1406-nucleotide ribosomal RNA is filed under the name Staphylococcus sp. RNAcentral describes it as "bacterial SSU rRNA". It matches the Rfam family "Bacterial small subunit ribosomal RNA". Lineage: Bacteria; Bacillati; Bacillota; Bacilli; Caryophanales; Staphylococcaceae. The record is from RNAcentral.
UGCAAGUCGAGCGAACAGAUAAGGAGCUUGCUCCUUUGACGUUAGCGGCGGACGGGUGAGUAACACGUGGGUAACCUACCUAUAAGACUGGGAUAACUUCGGGAAACCGGAGCUAAUACCGGAUAACAUUUGGAACCGCAUGGUUCUAAAGUGAAAGAUGGUUUUGCUAUCACUUAUAGAUGGACCCGCGCCGUAUUAGCUAGUUGGUAAGGUAACGGCUUACCAAGGCGACGAUACGUAGCCGACCUGAGAGGGUGAUCGGCCACACUGGAACUGAGACACGGUCCAGACUCCUACGGGAGGCAGCAGUAGGGAAUCUUCCGCAAUGGGCGAAAGCCUGACGGAGCAACGCCGCGUGAGUGAUGAAGGGUUUCGGCUCGUAAAACUCUGUUAUUAGGGAAGAACAAACGUGUAAGUAACUGUGCACGUCUUGACGGUACCUAAUCAGAAAGCCACGGCUAACUACGUGCCAGCAGCCGCGGUAAUACGUAGGUGGCAAGCGUUAUCCGGAAUUAUUGGGCGUAAAGCGCGCGUAGGCGGUUUCUUAAGUCUGAUGUGAAAGCCCACGGCUCAACCGUGGAGGGUCAUUGGAAACUGGGAAACUUGAGUGCAGAAGAGGAAAGUGGAAUUCCAUGUGUAGCGGUGAAAUGCGCAGAGAUAUGGAGGAACACCAGUGGCGAAGGCGACUUUCUGGUCUGUAACUGACGCUGAUGUGCGAAAGCGUGGGGAUCAAACAGGAUUAGAUACCCUGGUAGUCCACGCCGUAAACGAUGAGUGCUAAGUGUUAGGGGGUUUCCGCCCCUUAGUGCUGCAGCUAACGCAUUAAGCACUCCGCCUGGGGAGUACGACCGCAAGGUUGAAACUCAAAGGAAUUGACGGGGACCCGCACAAGCGGUGGAGCAUGUGGUUUAAUUCGAAGCAACGCGAAGAACCUUACCAAAUCUUGACAUCCUUUGAAAACUCUAGAGAUAGAGCCUUCCCCUUCGGGGGACAAAGUGACAGGUGGUGCAUGGUUGUCGUCAGCUCGUGUCGUGAGAUGUUGGGUUAAGUCCCGCAACGAGCGCAACCCUUAAGCUUAGUUGCCAUCAUUAAGUUGGGCACUCUAGGUUGACUGCCGGUGACAAACCGGAGGAAGGUGGGGAUGACGUCAAAUCAUCAUGCCCCUUAUGAUUUGGGCUACACACGUGCUACAAUGGACAAUACAAAGGGCAGCUAAACCGCGAGGUCAUGCAAAUCCCAUAAAGUUGUUCUCAGUUCGGAUUGUAGUCUGCAACUCGACUACAUGAAGCUGGAAUCGCUAGUAAUCGUAGAUCAGCAUGCUACGGUGAAUACGUUCCCGGGUCUUGUACACACCGCCCGUCACACCACGAGAGUUUGUAACACCCGAAGCCGGUGGAGUAACCAUU